CCAAUUCUGGAGUAAUACUGCAGAUUAUACUCUACAGGGUCUCCCAGAAAGUGUGUCCCUCCUUGCCUUGGCAUUUGUCUAUUAAGUGGACGAGUAAGGGCAGGCCGGCUCGAGCUGCUGCGCUUGACAAUAGCUUAUACAUAACAUUGUUUUAGCUGACUAACGAGUAAUAUUUUUGUAUUGACACUUUCCCUCUACCUACAGAGAUUCUUCAGAAUAUGGGACAAACAUUCUGGGAUACCCUCACUGUGGAGAAUCGCCUUAUCAACCAACGGCGGACCAGUCAAUAGCCACGUCUUGCUUUUCCAUAUAUGCUCACGACAUAAACAGCGAAAUCGUCCACUCAGUGGAAAUUUGAAUGAUUUCUUAGGGUGAAACUUUCUCCGAGUGGACAAUUUCGAUGUUUUGCCGCGGGAGUAUGGAAAAGCGAGACGCAAGCUUAUUGGACGGUCCGCCGUGGAUUGGCACGAGGCGAUUCUACACAGUGACCCAGUAGUAACAUACAUUUUUGUGGUUUUCUCGGGUUCAGUAUUUUGCGUACAGCGAAAAACCCAACCAUUGGUUAACAUUAGAGAGCCAAAUAUCCAAAUACAUGCAAUGGGCUGGGAUUUUUUGUUAAACUUUAUUGCACGUUCUAAUAUACUGUACUCUGCCUGGAAAACGGCUAAUUUUGUAAAUAGUAAUUCUUACUUCAGUGAUGAAUAGGGGCUGUACACAACUAACGUACCACCUUAAUUUGACAUAUAGAUUUUGGUUGACAUGUCACCAAAACUAUGUCAAAAUUAGGUGGUACGUCCGCUAGUGUAGUAUGCAGUGUGUAAAAUAUUAUGCAGUAUAUACUUAGUGUAGUAUGCAGUGUUUUAAAAUAUUGAAAUUAGUGAUAGGAAGGAUGGAUUUUACCUGAAUUAAGUAUCUUUUGUUAUAAAUAAACUUUAUCUGGUU
Long non-coding RNA from Priapulus caudatus, 942 nucleotides. RefSeq lists it as uncharacterized. The record is from RefSeq and is a predicted model, not a curated record. The transcript is spliced from 2 exons. Lineage: Eukaryota; Metazoa; Priapulida; Priapulimorpha; Priapulimorphida; Priapulidae.